RNAcentral lists this ribosomal RNA (207 nucleotides) under uncultured bacterium. RNAcentral describes it as "partial 16S ribosomal RNA". It matches the Rfam family "Bacterial small subunit ribosomal RNA", at positions 568 to 774 of the family's 1533-position model. The record is from RNAcentral.
CGCGUAGGCGGAUGUAUAAGUCAGAUGUGAAAUUCCGGGACUCAAUUCCGGAGCUGCAUUUGAAACUAUAGAUCUAGAGGGAUGGCGGAGAAAACGGAAUUCCACGUGUAGCGGUGAAAUGCGUAGAUAUGUGGAAGAACACCUGUGGCGAAAGCGGUUUUCUAGCUAUAACCUGACGCUGAGGCGCGAGAGCAAGGGGAGCAAACA